RNAcentral lists this ribosomal RNA (797 nucleotides) under Mammaliicoccus sciuri. RNAcentral describes it as "Staphylococcus sciuri partial 23S ribosomal RNA". It matches the Rfam family "Bacterial large subunit ribosomal RNA", at positions 1 to 794 of the family's 2925-position model. The record is from RNAcentral. Lineage: Bacteria; Bacillati; Bacillota; Bacilli; Caryophanales; Staphylococcaceae.
AGAUUAAGUUAUUAAGGGCGCACGGUGGAUGCCUUGGCACUAGAAGCCGAUGAAGGACGUUACUAACGACGAUAUGCUUUGGGGAGCUGUAAGUAAGCUUUGAUCCAGAGAUUUCCGAAUGGGGAAACCCAGCAUGAGUUAUGUCAUGUUAUCGAUAUGUGAAUACAUAGCAUAUCUGAAGGUAGACGCGGAGAACUGAAACAUCUUAGUACCCGCAGGAAGAGAAAGAAAAAUCGAUUCCCUGAGUAGCGGCGAGCGAAACGGGAAGAGCCCAAACCAACGAGCUUGCUUGUUGGGGUUGUAGGACACUCUAUACGGAGUUACAAAAGAAUAAACUAGACGAAUCAUCUGGAAAGAUGAAUCAAAGAAGGUAAUAAUCCUGUAGUCGAAAGUUUGUUCACUCUUGAGUGGAUCCUGAGUACGACGGAACACGAGAAAUUCCGUCGGAAUCCGGGAGGACCAUCUCCCAAGGCUAAAUACUCUCUAGUGACCGAUAGUGAACCAGUACCGUGAGGGAAAGGUGAAAAGUACCCCGGAAGGGGAGUGAAAUAGAACUUGAAACCGUGUGCUUACAAGUAGUCAGAGCCCGUUAAUGGGUGAUGGCGUGCCUUUUGUAGAAUGAACCGGCGAGUUACGAUUUGAUGCAAGGUUAAGCAGUGAAUGUGGAGCCGUAGCGAAAGCGAGUCUGAAUAGGGCGUUGAGUAUUUGGUCGUAGACCCGAAACCAGGUGAUCUACCCAUGACCAGGUUGAAGUUCAGGUAACACUGAAUGGAGGACCGAACCGACUUACGUUGAAA